GAUGAACGCUGGCGGCGUGCUUAACACAUGCAAGUCGAACGAGAAAUGGAGACGGAAACCUUCGGGCGGAAGGCUUCAUUUCGAGUGGCGGACGGGUGAGUAACGCGUGGGUAACCUGCCUCAUACAGGGGGAUAACAGUUGGAAACGACUGUUAAUACCGCAUAAGACCACAGCACCGCAUGGUGCGGGGGUAAAAACUCCGGUGGUAUGAGAUGGACCCGCGUUCGAUUAGCCAGUUGGCGGGGUAACGGCCCACCAAAGCGACGAUCGAUAGCCGAUCUGAGAGGAUGACCGGCCACAUUGGGACUGAGGCACAGCCCAAACUCCUACGGGAGGCAGCAGUGGGGAAUAUAGCACAAUGGAGGAAGCCCUGAUGCAGCGACGCCGCGUGAGUGAAGAAGUACUUCGGUAUGUAAAGCUCUAUCAGCAGGGAAGAAAAUGACGGUACCUGAGUAAGAAGCCCCGGCUAACUACGUG
RNAcentral lists this ribosomal RNA (478 nucleotides) under uncultured bacterium. RNAcentral describes it as "partial 16S ribosomal RNA". It matches the Rfam family "Bacterial small subunit ribosomal RNA", at positions 28 to 507 of the family's 1533-position model. The record is from RNAcentral.